UACAGAGGUCCCGAGCGUUGUUCGGAUUCAUUGGGCGUAAAGGGCGCGUAGGCGGUCAGCACAAGUCAGUUGUGAAAUCUCCGGGCUUAACUCGGAAAGGUCAACUGAUACUGUGCGACUAGAGUGCGGUAGGGGAGACUGGAAUUCCUGGUGUAGCGGUGAAAUGCGCAGAUAUCAGGAAGAACACCUAUGGCGAAGGCAGCACUCUGGGACGGUACUGACGCUGAGACGCGAAAGCGUGGGGAGCGAACAGG
This 254-nucleotide ribosomal RNA is filed under the name uncultured bacterium. RNAcentral's name for it is "partial 16S ribosomal RNA". It matches the Rfam family "Bacterial small subunit ribosomal RNA", at positions 524 to 776 of the family's 1533-position model. The record is from RNAcentral.